UAGUCCACGCCGUAAACGAUGAUAACUGGUUCUGGGCGAUAUAUUGUCCGUGACUGAGCGAAAGCAUUAAGUUAUCCACCUGGGGAGUACGCCGCAAGGUUAAAACUCAAAGGAAUUGACGGGGACCCGCACAAGCGGUGGAGCAUGUUGUUUAAUUCGAAGCAACGCGAAGAACCUUACCCACACUUAACUAUCCUCUUGGGACUUUCAGAGAUGAUUGUCUUCGGUUCGGCCGGGGAGUGAAUAGGUGCUGCAUGGCUGUCGUCAGCUCGUGUCGUGAGAUGUUCGGUUAAGUCCGGUAACGAGCGCAACCCUUAUUGAUAGUUGCCAUCAUUCAGUUGGGCACUCUAUUGACACUGCCGGUGAUAAGCCGGAGGAAGGCGGGGACGACGUCAAGUCAUCAUGGCCCUUACGUGUGGGGCUACAAACGUGCUACAAUGGCAGUGACAGUGGGCAGCUACCUCGCGAGAGGAUGCUAAUCUCCAAAAACUGUCUCAGUUCGGAUU
This 506-nucleotide ribosomal RNA is filed under the name uncultured bacterium. Its description in RNAcentral is "bacterial SSU rRNA". It matches the Rfam family "Bacterial small subunit ribosomal RNA", at positions 791 to 1299 of the family's 1533-position model. The record is from RNAcentral.